UGCCAGCCGCCGCGGUAAUACAGAGGGUGCAAACGUUGUUCGGAAUCACUGGGCAUAAAGCGCACGUAGGCGGCCCUGUAAGUGUGGAGUGAAAGCCCACGGCUCAACCGUGGAAUUGCUUCGCAUACUGCAGGUGCCAGAGGACGGUAGGGGAGAGCGGAACUCCUGGUGGAGCGGUGAAAUGCGUAGAUAUCAGGAGGAACACCAGUGGCGAAGGCGGCUCUCUGGUCCGUUUCUGACGCUGAGGUGCGAAAGCCAGGGUAGCGAACGGGAUUAGAUA
This 280-nucleotide ribosomal RNA is filed under the name uncultured bacterium. Its description in RNAcentral is "partial 16S ribosomal RNA". It matches the Rfam family "Bacterial small subunit ribosomal RNA", at positions 506 to 784 of the family's 1533-position model. The record is from RNAcentral.